GACGAACGCUGGCGGCGUGCUUAACACAUGCAAGUCGAACGGAAAGGCCCUGCUUUUGUGGGGUGCUCGAGUGGCGAACGGGUGAGUAACACGUGAGUAACCUGCCCUUGACUUUGGGAUAACUUCAGGAAACUGGGGCUAAUACCGGAUAGGAGCUCCUGCUGCAUGGUGGGGGUUGGAAAGUUUCGGCGGUUGGGGAUGGACUCGCGGCUUAUCAGCUUGUUGGUGGGGUAGUGGCUUACCAAGGCUUUGACGGGUAGCCGGCCUGAGAGGGUGACCGGCCACAUGGGGACUGAGAGACGGCCCAGACUCCUACGGGAGGCAGCAGUGGGGAAUAUUGCACAAUGGGCGGAAGCCUGAUGCAGCAACGCCGCGUGCGGGAUGACGGCCUGCGGGUUGUAAACCGCUUUCGCCUGUGACGAAGCGUGAGUGACGGUAAUGGGUAAAGAAGCACCGGCUAACUACGUG
Molecule: ribosomal RNA, 468 nt
Filed under: uncultured bacterium
Lineage: Bacteria
Description: partial 16S ribosomal RNA
Rfam family: Bacterial small subunit ribosomal RNA
Source: RNAcentral